UCCCUCUUAGCUCAGUGGUAGAGCGCUUCACUAGUAUUGUUUCGAGUUCUCUUAUGUAAAUGACGCUAUGAAGAGGUCAGUCGUUCAAGUCGGCUAGAGGGAA
Molecule: non-coding RNA, 103 nt
Organism: Marasmius sp. AFHP31
Lineage: Eukaryota; Fungi; Basidiomycota; Agaricomycetes; Agaricales; Marasmiaceae
Source: the annotation of a GenBank genome assembly